AGUUCAAGCAAAAUUUUUGAUUUUAGGAAUCAAAUUGGGCUAUCCCUUGAAUUA
Molecule: transfer RNA, 54 nt
Filed under: Leptotrombidium pallidum
Lineage: Eukaryota; Metazoa; Arthropoda; Arachnida; Trombidiformes; Trombiculidae
Description: tRNA-Leu
Source: RNAcentral